RNAcentral lists this ribosomal RNA (300 nucleotides) under uncultured bacterium. RNAcentral's name for it is "bacterial SSU rRNA". It matches the Rfam family "Bacterial small subunit ribosomal RNA", at positions 335 to 627 of the family's 1533-position model. The record is from RNAcentral.
UAGCCUACGGGAGGCAGCAGUAGGGAAUCUUCCACAAUGGGCGAAAGCCUGAUGGAGCAACGCCGCGUGGGUGAAGAAGGUCUUCGGAUCGUAAAACCCUGUUGUUAGAGAAGAAAGUGCGUGAGAGUAACUGUUCACGUUUCGACGGUAUCUAACCAGAAAGCCACGGCUAACUACGUGCCAGCAGCCGCAGUAAUACGUAGGUGGCAAGCGUUAUCCGGAUUUAUUGGUCGUAAAGGGAACGCAGGCGUUCUUUUAAGUCUGAUGUGAAAGCCUUCGGCUUAACCGUCGUAUUGCAUU